RNAcentral lists this ribosomal RNA (1439 nucleotides) under uncultured bacterium. Its description in RNAcentral is "bacterial SSU rRNA". It matches the Rfam family "Bacterial small subunit ribosomal RNA". The record is from RNAcentral.
AGGGUUUGAUCAUGGCUCAGAACGUACGCUGGCGGCACGCCUAACACAUGCAAGUCGAACGAAGUAGCAAUACUUAGUGGCAGACGGGUGAGUAACAUGUGGGUAUCUGCCCUUUGGCCUGGAAUAACACGAGGAAACUUGUGCUAAUACCGGAUAAGUCUUUACGGAGAAAGCUUUAUGCACCAUUGGAUGAGCCCGCACUUGAUUAGUUUGUUGGUGGGGUAAUGGCCUACCAAGACUGUGAUCAAUAGCUGAUUUGAGAGGAUGAUCAGCCACAUUGGGACUGAGACACGGCCCAAACUCCUACGGGAGGCAGCAGUGGGGAAUCUUGCACAAUGGAGGAAACUCUGAUGCAGCGAUGCCGCGUGAGUGAAGAAGGCCCUUGGGUUGUAAAGCUCUUUCGUCGGGGAAGAAAAUGACUGUACCCGAAUAAGAAGGUCCGGCUAACUUCGUGCCAGCAGCCGCGGUAAUACGAAGGGACCUAGCGUAGUUCGGAAUUACUGGGCUUAAAGAGUUCGUAGGUGGUUGAAAAAGUUAGUGGUGAAAUCCCAGAGCUUAACUCUGGAACUGCCAUUAAAACUUUUCAGCUAGAGUAUGAUAGAGGAAAGCAGAAUUUCUAGUGUAGAGGUGAAAUUCGUAGAUAUUAGAAAGAAUACCAAUUGCGAAGGCAGCUUUCUGGAUCAUUACUGACACUGAGGAACGAAAGCAUGGGUAGCGAAGAGGAUUAGAUACCCUCGUAGUCCAUGCCGUAAACGAUGUGUGUUAGACGUUGGAAAUUUAUUUUCAGUGUCGCAGCGAAAGCGAUAAACACACCGCCUGGGGAGUACGACCGCAAGGUUAAAACUCAAAUGAAUUGACGGGGACCCGCACAAGUAGUGGAGCAUGUGGUUUAAUUCGAAGAUACGCGCAGAACCUUACCAACACUUGACAUGUUCGUCGCGACUCUAAGAGAUUAGAGUUUUCGGUUCGGCCGGACGAAACACAGGUGCUGCAUGGCUGUCGUCAGCUCGUGUCGUGAGAUGUUGGGUUAAGUCCCGCAACGAGCGCAACCCUCACUUUUAGUUGCCAUCAUUAAGUUGGGCACUCUGAAAGAACUGCCAGUGAUAAGCUGGAGGAAGGUGGGGAUGACGUCAAGUCCUCAUGGCCCUUACGUGUUGGGCUACACACGUGCUACAAUGGUAUCUACAAAAGGAAGCAAGACUGCGAGGUCAAGCAAAUCCUUAAAAGAUACCUCAGUUCGGAUUGCACUCUGCAACUCGAGUGCAUGAAGCUGGAAUUACUAGUAAUCGUGGAUCAGCGUGCCACGGUGAAUGCGUUCCCGGGUCUUGUACACACCGCCCGUCACACCAUGGGAGUUGGUUCUACCUUAAGGCAAGGUUUCAAACCCUUGACCACGGUAUAGUCAGCGACUGGGGUGAAGUCAUAACAAGGUAGCCGUA